GCGGGGUGAGCACCGUACCCCUCACAAUCUCUUCUCUGGAGCACCGCACAAUCUCCUUGCAUGCUUCGACGGAGUCACACGCCACCAAGCCGUCUAGGAGGUGGCAACCUCCAAGAGUAACAAGCACCACCGGCUUGCAACACGAACACCUAGUGCCACUCAAUGCAAUCUCUCAAUGCAACGCACUAGAAUCACUCACUCGCUAUUGAUUCGCACUCUUGCAAGCAUAAGUGAGUUAGAGGCAUUCCUAGCACUCCCCAAUCAUGGACACUAAGUCCCAAGGGUG
Molecule: long non-coding RNA, 286 nt
Filed under: Sorghum bicolor (sorghum)
Lineage: Eukaryota; Viridiplantae; Streptophyta; Magnoliopsida; Poales; Poaceae
Description: long non-coding RNA (SBIC_LNC006690)
Source: RNAcentral